AAAAAGGAAGAUUAGGAGAGAGAAACAAAGAAGUAAGAUAUUCAAAGGACAAAAGUAUAGAAAAUUAAAAGAUAUAAUAAAUAGAAAAGCGUGACACGCUUUGGUAAUGAUCUUCAUCAGCUUUAUCUUAUACAUAUAAGAUAGACCCAUAUUGGAUAGUGCGAAAGCUGAUGAGAUGUGCUAUGAUCGGAGUUGGUGGGUGGUGAUGGGUUCAUCAACCUUGUUUGCGACGACCAAAAAUAUUCGCCAUGUUGAUUUUGGAUGGCCUAUUAGGACUUGAUGAAGCACCAUUUGAUGAAGAAGUGCUUGCUGAUGGGUUUGGCCACAAAGAACCUUUUAUGGUAGGCAAGGUGAUUGAACUUUGUGAUGUGUUAUUAUUGUUUGAGGUUUGAUUAUUAGUAGAAGGUCGAUUGGUUGGACACAAACAAUCUCUUAUUUGAUUCCUCUUUGGGUCACCCAUUUUAUGGUAUAUAACCAAAUUAAAGGAAACAAGAGAUUAGGGAUAAUGAAAUGAAGAACAAAAGUUUUCAAGCUUAGAGAAAGAGAGAAAUGAGAGAGUUGGAAGAAAGGGGUGUGCUGUGGCCAAAAUUUAUAGGCAAAAGAACGUUCUAGAUUGGUUUAAAAUUUGCCCUACUUGGUGAAUUUAAUUUUACUUGCAUUUCACUCUCA
Molecule: long non-coding RNA, 669 nt
Filed under: Arachis ipaensis
Lineage: Eukaryota; Viridiplantae; Streptophyta; Magnoliopsida; Fabales; Fabaceae
Description: long non-coding RNA (AIPA_LNC001032)
Source: RNAcentral